UAGCUUAUUGUUUUUUAUAAUAGGUUUUUUCUGCCCGGUGUUUAAAUAAACGGCCGCGGUACUCUGACCGUGCAAAGGUAGCAUAAUCAUUUGUUCUUUAAUUGGGGACUUGUAUGAAAGAAAGUUUGAGGCUUUUUCUGUCUCUUUUUUAAUUUAGAAUUUGCUGUUUAUGUGAAGAAGCAUAAGUUUAUAAAAAAGACAAGAAGACCCUUUUAAGCUUUAUUUUUUUUUUCUGCAUUUUUUCUUUUAAGUAAUUGAUUGUGGUUAAAAGAAUUUAGUUGGGGUGACUAAAGAAGACAAAAUCUUCUUGGUUUAAAAAAACUUUGUGUUUAAAAAAGACCCAAAAUUGUUUUGGUUGAAAGAAUUAGUUACUAAAGGGAUAACAGCGUAAUCUUUUCAAAGAGUUCUUAUUGAAGAAAAGGAUUGCGACCUCGAUGUUGACUUACUUUUUCCUUUUAAGGUGCAGAAGCUAAAAGGGUUGGUCUGUUCGACCAUUAAAAUAGU
Molecule: ribosomal RNA, 504 nt
Filed under: Lineidae sp. K HK-2021
Lineage: Eukaryota; Metazoa; Nemertea; Pilidiophora; Heteronemertea; Lineidae
Description: partial 16S rRNA
Rfam family: Archaeal large subunit ribosomal RNA
Source: RNAcentral